UCAUCGUUAACAGAAUGGUGUUACAUGACCCUGUUAUGAUAUUAUAUUUUUAUGUAAUGUCAAUAAUACCCUUACAUUCUACUUAUAGUGGAGUGUUAGUCCCAUAGCGCCAAAAAUGUGGAAGCACGUGCCUCACGUGACCCAUGAUUUUGGAUGCCCUAGGCUAAAUCCAAAUGGGAGAAGACCCACAACCCAAAAAUCAAACUUUGUGGAGAGAAGAAAUUUUCAACCAAGCCAUGGCUAGAGAAGAACAUAUCUUCAAUCA
Molecule: long non-coding RNA, 265 nt
Filed under: Elaeis guineensis (African oil palm)
Lineage: Eukaryota; Viridiplantae; Streptophyta; Magnoliopsida; Arecales; Arecaceae
Description: long non-coding RNA (EGUI_LNC072940)
Source: RNAcentral